This is a non-coding RNA of Ictalurus furcatus (blue catfish), 2414 nucleotides long. NCBI's taxonomy places the organism in Eukaryota, Metazoa, Chordata, Actinopteri, Siluriformes, Ictaluridae. The record is from the annotation of a RefSeq genome assembly.
AGAGAGAGAGAGAGAGAGAGAGAGAAGUGAGGUGUAACUGAGAUUUGCAUUAACAGGACUGAAUAAUUUCAUUUCUCCCAAAAUAGCAAUUGCCAGUCCAUGCUUCAGUGCUCUGCGAGUGUUUAUAGCCCUGUGACUUUAACACUUCAUGACUGAGAGCUGCUGCUCAGCAACUUCACCCACAGCAACCAUGACUUUGAUCAGCGUCUUCAUCUGCACACUGGCCCUCUGGACUCAAGGAUCCAGAAGUCAGGUGACUGUGACUCAGACUCCUUCAGUGCAAACUGUUGUUCCAGGAAAAACAGUCACCUUCAACUGUAGAACCAGUAGCAGUGUGUAUAGUGGUAACUAUCUCGCCUGGUACCUGCAGAAACCUGGAGAAGCUCCUAAACUCCUGAUCUAUGCUGCUACUAGCUUACAGUCAGGAACUCCAGCUCGUUUCAGUGGCAGUGGAUCUAAUACUGACUUCACUCUGACCAUCAGAGGAGUCCAGGCUGAAGAUGCAGGAGAUUACUACUGUCAGAGUUACCAUUAUAUCAGUAGUAGUAGUGUGUUCACACAGUGUUAGAGCGCCGUACAAAAACCUCGGUCAGUGAGAGUGCACAGAGAAGCUCUGCUGCAGCUGGGAGCGACUGCAGGUGCUGAGGGGGAGGAUGUGAUGCAGCACAAUGACACACACUGUGGACGAGAGAAAACACACCACACUAACUCACUAAUGCACACACACAUCUGUGAGAGGAGUCCACCUUUCUCAGCUGUGGACAUACAAACUAUUCCUCAUCAUUCCCAUUCACUGCUUAGUUAUUAUCUUUAUCCUGAUUUAGAAAGUUAAAGAAGUAUUUAUUAUAUUUAUAUUUUGUUGCAUUUAUGAUUUAUGAUUUAAUAUCAAACACUAUUAUAGAUUUAAUAUUUUAUUAUAUAAUUUUAAUGAUCAUUAAAUAGAGCUUCUUUAUAGAGUUGAGUCCGACAUUUAACUGAAUAUUUCUUUAAUUAAUAACGAUUAAUUAAUAAUUAUUAACCAUUAGAUAACGAUUAAUUCAGUGUAGCAUUCGCAAGUCAGUAUAAACCAGAGAAUUAUUUAAAAGCAUGACAAAAUACAUUUAUAAAUUGAUAUUAUAAAUAAACUUUACAUUUCUAUAAGCUGUAAAAUGUCAUAAAUAAACAUGCAAAUAUUUUUGCCCCUUUUAUCCCCCAUAUUUAAUCAGGGACAUGAUCAGACUUACUGGGAUCAUCAAAGUUCUCUGCAAACACAAUAAGUCUUGCACAGCAGCUUGGUACAGUAAGACAUUUUGAAAACACCCACGUUACCGUACCACGUUAUUACGUGACUUGCAAAGCUGAUUGUGUUUGUAGAGAAGAGAAGUUAGGCCAGGGGUUCCUGAGAGGUUCCUAAACUUAAUAGGUACGGAUUUUCUGUGACCCAAAGCCUUCACCACUACAUUUUGAACAUUGUAUUAUGUCAGUAACACAUGGGUAACGUAAGUGUCUAAAAACCAAAGGAAUAUUCCUUGCACUGGUUUACCAGUCUAGUGGGAGGAGUGAACUUGCAGGUUUUAACACAGCUUUUUAUAAAAUCAACUGAUCCACAGCUGAGCGCAGACUCAGAAUAAACUCCCUGGUGAGCAUUAAGGCGUCUGCUUGACUUUGUCGCAGAAAGAUACAUGCCGCUCAUCCCAAGAAAAACCUCCACCUGGUUUCAGCGGUCGUGGAUUAUGGGAUAGAAUUUGUAAAACUCACUUGAAUAUGCAGGAGAUCAGUACUGUCACACAACUCAUGCUGGUGUGGACAAAAGUCGCUCAUAGCAGUGAUGUGGUCUAGGUUAAUUUGCAAUACAUUCCUUAGAGAUAGUUGCCUCUGGUGAGCUUUCUAUCGGGAAAAUGACACACUAGGCCCUGCUAUACAAUAUAAACCUUGUUAGGGUCUACAUCAUAAUGAGAAGCUUUGUUACUUACUCAGGUCGAGGUCCGAGCCUCUGGGGCAGGAGCGGCCUUACGCCUCAGGAUUACUCGAUCACCAGACGAAGAAAAUAAGAAACUCUAUUCUUCGUCUAUUAUAGAAAAAGAGGACUCACUAGUCAUUUCUAGAGUUUACAAAUCUCCACCUAAGUGGAUUUGGUUUAUUACAGAAUAGUUUCAAGCAGGAUAACAGUUAACAAUACAGUAGUUAACUAUACCUAAUGGCGUAGAUCUUCACCACAUAAAACUUGGUGAAGAAUGAACAUAUUCAGACAUAUUAUAUACAUUUCAGCUGGCACACUGGACCCCGAUUUUUAUAAAUAGGACCUUUGGUGUCAACUGUCAUCACAUCAAUUCAGUAUAUGAGUCAGAGGUUACAAGUUCAUUUUUCAGAAUAGCACACAAUGUACUUUCAAGAGAGAAUUUCAAACCUAUAAGUCACUGAGCACAAGAUGUCAG